This 253-nucleotide unclassified non-coding RNA is filed under the name uncultured Cyclobacteriaceae bacterium. Its description in RNAcentral is "contains 16S-23S intergenic spacer region". It matches the Rfam family "Bacterial small subunit ribosomal RNA", at positions 524 to 776 of the family's 1533-position model. Lineage: Bacteria; Pseudomonadati; Bacteroidota; Cytophagia; Cytophagales; Cyclobacteriaceae. The record is from RNAcentral.
UACGGAGGGUGCAAGCGUUGUCCGGAUUUAUUGGGUUUAAAGGGUGCGUAGGCGGCCCGUUAAGUCAGCGGUGAAAGUUUCCGGCUCAACCGGGAGACUGCCGUUGAUACUGACGGGCUUGAGUGACGGAGGGGUACAUGGAAUUUAUGGUGUAGCGGUGAAAUGCAUAGAUACCAUAAGGAACACCGAUAGCGAAGGCAUUGUACCGGCCGUCCACUGACGCUGAGGCACGAAAGCGUGGGUAGCGAACAGG